AGAGUUUGAUCCUGGCUCAGAAUCAACGCUGGCGGCGCGCCUAACACAUGCAAGUCGAACGAGAAAGUGGAGCAAUCCAUGAGUACAGUGGCGUACGGGUGAGUAACACGUGGGUAAUCUGCCUCUUUGUGGGGAAUAACUCUGGGAACCGGAGCUAAUACCGCAUAAGCUCGAGAGAGGAAAGUCGCAAGACGCAGAGA
RNAcentral lists this ribosomal RNA (200 nucleotides) under uncultured bacterium. Its description in RNAcentral is "partial 16S ribosomal RNA". It matches the Rfam family "Bacterial small subunit ribosomal RNA", at positions 8 to 223 of the family's 1533-position model. The record is from RNAcentral.